AGCAGCCGCGGUAAUUCCAGCUCCAAUAGCGUAUAUUAAAGUUGUUGCAGUUAAAAAGCUCGUAGUUGAAUUUUGGGUUUGGCCAAUUGGUCCGUUCUUGUAACGAGUACUGGUUGGUUGGGCCUCACCGCCUGGUGAUACGUAAUGUCCUUUAUUGGGUGUGGCCGAGUAGCCAGGACCUUUACCUUGAAAAAAUUAGAGUGUUUAAAGCAGGCUUAUGCCGGAAUACAUUAGCAUGGAAUAAUAGAAUAGGACGAUGAUUCUAUUUUGUUGGUUUCUAGGAGCAUCGUAAUGAUUAAUAGGGAUAGUUGGGGGCAUUAGUAUUCAAUUGUCAGAGGUGAAAUUCUUGGAUUUAUUGAAGACUAACUACUGCGAAAGCAUUUGCCAAGGAUGUUUUCAUUAAUCAAGAACGAAAGUUAGGGGAUCGAAGACGAUCAGAUACCGUCGUAGUCUUAACCAUAAACUAUGCCGACUAGGAAUCAGACGAUGUUAAUUUUUUAAUGACUCGUUUGGCACCUUA
This 520-nucleotide unclassified non-coding RNA is filed under the name uncultured Glomus. RNAcentral's name for it is "bacterial SSU rRNA". It matches the Rfam family "Eukaryotic small subunit ribosomal RNA", at positions 569 to 1090 of the family's 1831-position model. Lineage: Eukaryota; Fungi; Glomeromycota; Glomeromycetes; Glomerales; Glomeraceae. The record is from RNAcentral.